RNAcentral lists this ribosomal RNA (971 nucleotides) under uncultured organism. RNAcentral's name for it is "bacterial SSU rRNA". It matches the Rfam family "Bacterial small subunit ribosomal RNA", at positions 511 to 1495 of the family's 1533-position model. The record is from RNAcentral.
GCAGCCGCGGUAAGACGUAGGACGCAAGCGUUAUCCGGAUUUACUGGGGCGUUAAAGCGCCUGUAGNCGGUCAAGUAAGUCGGAUGUGAAAGCCCCGGUGCUCAACGCGGGGAAGCCAUUCGAUACUGCGUGACUAGAGAACGGCAGAGGGAAACGGAAUUUCUGGUGUAGCGGUAAAAUGCGCAGAGAUCAGAAAGAACACCGAUGGCGAAGGCAGUUUCCUAGGCCGCAUCUGACGCUGAGAGGCGAAAGCUAGGGGAGCAAACAGGAUUAGAGACCCUGGUAGUCCUAGCUGUAAACGAUGGAUGCUAGGUGUGGGCCGGAAAGGUCCGUGCCGUAGUUAACGCGAUAAGCAUCCCGCCUGGGGAGUACGGCCGCAAGGCUAAAACUCAAACGAAUUGACGGGGACCCGCACAAGCAGCGGAGCGUGUGGUUUAAUUCGAUGCUACACGCAGAACCUUACCUGGGCUUGACAUGUAGGUGGUAGUGAAGUGAAAGCGGAGCGACCCUUCGGGGAGCCUACACAGGUGCUGCAUGGCUGUCGCCAGCUCGUGCCGUGAGGUGUCGGGUUAAGUCCCGUAACGAGCGCAACCCUUGUCCUUAGUUACAAGUGUCUAAGGAGACUGCCGGUGACAAACCGGAGGAAGGUGGGGAUGACGUCAAGUCAGCAUGGCCCUUAUGUCCAGGGCGACACACACGCUACAAUGGUCGGUACAAUGGGCAGCGCAGCCGCGAGGUGAAGCGAAUCCCAACAAAGCCGAUCCCAGUUCGGAUUGCAGGCUGCAACCCGCCUGCAUGAAGCCGGAGUUGCUAGUAACCGCGCGUCAGCCAUAGUGCGGUGAAUACGUUCCCGGGUCUUGUACACACCGCCCGUCACGUCAUGGGAGUUGGUAACGCCUGAAGCCGGUAGUCUGACCUAACGGAGACGCCGUCGAAGGCGGGACUGGCGACUGGGACGAAGUCGUAACAAG